CAUUCUCUCUCAUCUCUCUCACAACUCACAUCUCACCAGUCACUCUCUCUCUCUCUCUGGCGAUUCCAGAUCCAGAUCUGGAUCUAGGGUUUCUCUGCUAUCUCUCUUGCGAUCCAAGCUAAUCAGAUCCGUCUUCCAUCUGUUCUCUCUCUCGCACGAUCCAAGCGAUUCAGAUCCAAGAGAUUCAGAUCUAGGUGCUGUGUGUGCGAUUCAGGGUUUAAGCAUGUUUAAAACUAGGGUUUCAGGAGAUCGUGAGAUGAGGAAAAGCGGGGAUUUCACCAGAUCUAGGGUGUUACUUUCAUUUGAUUUCGAAUCCAUGACCCCAUCCCGUGACACUGUGGUGUGCAGAUGGAUCCCUAGCCGUCGCAUCUGGUGAACCCGCACAUAAUAACUCUUUUGACUUGUUUUCUAACCUGACUUUCGGCUCAUCUUUCCUAAAUCGUUAUCUUUAUGUUUAUUGUUUUCCGCCCAGAACUGGCAGCACGGUGGCGGUGGAGUGAGGAAACAGUCAAACAAAAGAGACACAAGUGGAGGAGUGGAAUAUUGACGCUUGGUAAUCGAGUGAUGAUUUUAAGAUGAAGAAUUGAGUAUUAUGGUCUUUGGGAUGAAGUUGUCAUAGGUUUGAGUUUUACAGCGCAAAAUAUCAUCUGCAAACCACUUUUUUGCUGAGAUGUCUCGUAAGGAUUUACACCAAUAUGACGUGAGUUUUAAUCUUUCGAUGUUGCAACCUGCAAGUCUUCUUUAUGUAUUUUAACUUAUUACCUGAGGUGGGAUGAUGAACCGACCGGGCGGGUCAGGUGACAUAUCAUUAUAUCAAAAUGGUUAUUGUUGGUCAAACAAGGUCAGCUAUCAUUUUGACCUUUGGUAUUUGAGUUAACUGUCUGUGGUAUGGGUCAAAAGUAGUUGUGGGUUAAAUCUAUCGUAUGGGCCAAAAGCAAUUCUAUUUUCACUAACAUGUUAAUUAAAUAUUUUUUUAGAAGAAAUAAGUUAUAAAUAAACUUUGGAUAACUUUCAGCCAACUUUUAAACGAUUUCUCUUCAGCUGAAUACUGAAUAUUAUAGGCACAAAUUGCAAUAUGAAAGUACUGUACUUAUGUGUUUGUAGCUUAGAUUGAUAGGUAUUGAGCAUAUGUGUAUCUGUUUGUUUUUUACACUAAGGGUAUUUUAGACAUUUAAUAGUUUUUGCAUAUGUGUAUAUGUUUGUUUUACAUGAAUGUUUUAUUUGAAGCUGGGGGGAGGGGGUAUGGUUAAGAAUUCGCUGCUUGCUGGUUCACAUAAAUGGAUAGAUUUAGUGGUAACAGACCCAAGAUUCUUGAUUCGGCUUUUCUUAGACCGGGGCGGUUUGACCGACAGGUUGGUUAAAAAAACAAGACAAACAUUCCCACAACAAAAGAUUUGGUUUGAAUUCUAAGGUCAUUUGGUGGUUAGCAAUAUGAUUACUAAUGGGUCAAAUGGGUUUACUUUAAAAUCUUAGUUAAAACUGAAACGAGUCAGGUUGAUAAAAGUGACCCGAAGUACCUUUACAUGCUUACAGCCUCUUGGUCUAGAUGAUAAUGUGGCAGCUGGGUUGGGUAACGGGUCAACACCCUAUAUGAUAAUGUUGUCAAUUGGUAUUAAGCUUUCCAUAGAAGAUUUCGCUCUUGCUUUCAAAAGGUCACUCUAUAUUUGCGCUAUUACUCACCUGCGUUUCGGUUAAUUCAAAAUGCAUGUAAUUAACAUCCAAAUAUAAGACGGGUUUUAGAUUUUUAUCGUGAUCUUAUCAUAUUUGCAGGCCUUUACCAUUAUCCAUGGGGUUUCUAGCCCAAUACGCAUUAAAACCGGUUCUUGGUGUAUUCGUGGCUAGAUUAUUCGGUGUAGCUCCCAUGUUCUAUGCAGGAUUUGUGUUAAUGGCGUGUGUUUCGAGUGCACAGUUGUCUAGCUACGGUAGCUUCUUGAGCAAAGGGGAUGUAGCUUUGAAAAAUGGCUGCAAUGGCGUCUCACCAAUCUUUGCUACCCGUCAAUCUCGCGCGCAGGUGACUGCUAUGCGUGCCUUGACCCAACAUCGCCGCAAAAAAGGUACCUAUUGUUCGGGUGCUAUUGGGCCAAACAGUUUAUCAUCGCGUGUUCUUCAACUGUGAUUGCGGGCUCCGUCGCUUCAUACUUAGACGACUAUUCCGUUUCUUCUGGUUUAUUCGUCAAUGAAGCUACUCAUGCGCUAUAGCCUUGGCUCGGUGGCUAUUGGUUCCUUGAUUGUAUCGUUUGUUGAGUCGACUCGGUUUAUACUCGAGGCUGUUCGCCGGAGACUUAAAGUUGCUGACAUCAUGCCCGAAAACGGGAUUAAAAGUUUGUCUUUAUUGCUGAUGACAAAAGAAAAAUAACUGCUACAACUUGGGUACCCAUACUUGCAAUUAGAAUUUACGUCGUGGUCACAUACGAAAGGUUAAAAGGAUAGG
RNA transcript from Helianthus annuus (common sunflower), 2431 nucleotides. It is a transcript of the gene named probable sodium/metabolite cotransporter BASS3, chloroplastic, with no coding region annotated. The record is from RefSeq and is a predicted model, not a curated record. The transcript has 7 exons. NCBI's taxonomy places the organism in Eukaryota, Viridiplantae, Streptophyta, Magnoliopsida, Asterales, Asteraceae.